ACACCUCAACUCUUUAUGGUUUUCCAUGAUGAGCUUGGACUUUGGGGGUUUUGCUGGCCUAUGGUCGGCUCCUCUAAAAUAAAUCAGCUUACCAGUGUUUGGUGGGUAUCAUGGGUGUGAUAACUAUCUACGCUUGUGGUUUUUCCACCAGGUAAUCUUCAGCAAUGGAGGUUCGCUGGAGCUUAUAAACGUCUCUCCUCGGCGAGGACAGUUUUGACC
Molecule: unclassified non-coding RNA, 219 nt
Filed under: uncultured Tomentella
Lineage: Eukaryota; Fungi; Basidiomycota; Agaricomycetes; Thelephorales; Thelephoraceae
Description: sequence contains ITS2
Source: RNAcentral